GACAGAGGUGCCGAGCGUUAGGCGGAAUCACUGGGCUUAAAGCGUGUGUAGGCGGAUUCCUAAGUACCUUGUGAAAUCCCACGGCUCAACCGUGGAACUGCUUGGUAUACUGGGUGUCUUGAGCCAACUAGGGGCUACCGGAACAAAUGGUGGAGCGGUGAAAUGCGUAGAUAUCAUUUGGGACGCCAAUGGUGAAAACAGGUAGCUGGGGUUGUGCUGACGCUGAGACACGAAAGCCAGGGGAGCGAACGGG
RNAcentral lists this ribosomal RNA (253 nucleotides) under uncultured bacterium. RNAcentral describes it as "partial 16S ribosomal RNA". It matches the Rfam family "Bacterial small subunit ribosomal RNA", at positions 524 to 776 of the family's 1533-position model. The record is from RNAcentral.